AACGGAAUUUAGUCAGCUGCCAGAGCAUCUCGGCUGCGUUUACAUUUGGCGUCAAAAUGCGUCUUGUAUUCGGAUGUUUUCAACUUAUGGGACACAUACCUGCCUGAUGCCUUGCAAAAGCGCUUGGGAACUACAGUGACCCAAAAUAAGCACUGCUCAAAAUCCACCUGAUUUUGAUCCAUAUUCACUACAUCCAGCACAAAGAUUCAGCAAUAAUGCCACGAUCAAAGGAACUUCCAGAAGAUGUAAAAGAAAAGAUAAUUUUUUACCAUACGUCUGGUAAGGGUUACAAAGCUAUUUCUAAAAUUAUGGGACUGCAUCGAUCCACUGUCAGAACUAUAAUUUCCAAAUGGAAAACACAUGGAACAGUGAUGAACCUUCCAAGAAGUGGUCGACCCACAAAAAUUUCACCACGGACACAACGCAAAAUCAUCCAGGAAGUCACAAAGAAACCCAAAAUAACGUCCAAGGAACUGCAGGCUUCUCUUGCUUCAGCUAAAGUCAAAGUUCAUGACUCUACAAUCAGACGGAGACUGGGCAAAAUUAGGAAAGGCGAGAUGGUAUCGAAGCGAAAAACUAUGCCGAAAAAGAACAUGCAUGCUUGUGUCUUGUUCAAAAAUAAUCUCCAGGAAGAUUCUCAAGUUUUUGAGGAAAAUAUUUUAAAAACAGAAGUGGCAGAAGUGGAAGUCUUAAUCUGAUAAGAGGCCCAUCAUGUCCAGUGUAAAACUAACAGACAGCAAGUAUUAAAAAAAUGUAUUUUGUAUCUGUAUUUACUUAUGGUGACAUAUUUUUUUAUAUUUUGCUGUGUCAGGUAUGAGUACUCACUGAAUAAGGCCUGACUGAAAAAAUAAGAAAAAUACUCAUCUAUAUUACUGUUCCUAUGCAAAGGAAAUAAAAUAUAAGUUAAAAACAUGCAUGUCAAAUAACUGUCAUGUGAUUUAUUCAAAAUUCAACUACAUUUGUGUUAUGUCUUAAACCUGGAUUAUUGUCAAAUGCUAUCCCCGGUUUCACAGACAAAGCUUAAGUCUAGUCCCAGACUAAAAAGUAAGUAUGAGCUGUUUCAGCUGGAAGAAACUUGCACUGACUGAUCUUAAAAUAGUCAUGUGAAAAAGUUAGGACACCCUAUUGAAUUUCAUGGUUUUUUAUAUCAGGACAUAAUAAAAAAUUAUCUGGUCUUUGGCAGGUCUUAAAAUUUGGAAAAUAAAUCCUCAGAUAAACAUCAUCACAUGACAUUAUCACACAGUGUCGUUAUUUAUUUAAGAAAAAUACAGCCAAGAGGGAAAGGCCACGUGUGACGAAGUUAGGACACCCUAUGAGUCAAUUGCCUGUAGAUUCACUUUUAGCAGUAAUAAUUUGAAGCAUUCAUUUUCUGUGUGACUUUAUCAGUCUCUCACAUGGUUCUGGAGGAAUUUGGACCGCUCUUCUUUUCACCGUUGCUCCAGUUCAUUGAGAUGCUUUGUGUUUGGGCUCUACUGUAAACCUGGAUCAUCCUGUGAAGAUUCAUCAAAUGCAUAAUGCCACGAUCAAAUGAACUUCCUGAAGAGUUCAAAGAGAAGAUCAUUUUCUACCAUAAGGCAGGUAAAGGAUACAAAUCCAUUUCGAAGAUUAUGGGAGUUCACCGCUCCACAAUCAGAUCCAUAAUCUGCAAGUGGAAAAUGCUGGGAACAGUGAUGAAUCUUCCUAGGAGUGGUCGACCGUCUAAAAUCUCUUUGCGGGCGCAACGUAAAAUCGUCCAGGAAGUUGCAAAAAACCCUGAAAUAACAUCUAAAGAGAUGCAGGCUAUUCUUGCGUUAUCUAAAGUCAAAGUUCAUGAAUCCACGAUCAGGAAGAGACUGAACCGAAUCAGGCAUCGUGAGAGAGUGUCGAGGCGAAAAUCACUGCAGAAAAAGAAGAAAAUAAAUGCUCAUCUCUUGUCAGAGAAGAAGCUACAAGAAGACGCUCACGUUUUUGAGGAAAAUCUUGUAAAGACAGAAGUGGCAGAAGUCGAAGUUUUUAUUUUGUAAAGAAACAGGCACAACAAUCCACUGUAAAAACAUGUUGCCACCAGUGUUACACUUCUAAUAGGCUUUAUUUUGUACUUGUAUUUAAUUCUGGCACCGUAUUUGUUUUACGUAUUGCUGUGUCAGGCAUGAAUAUAUUUUUAUGUACAGUUUAUACAAUAUACAUAUCAUUUUGUUUACUCACUAAAGUGGUUCUGUGCAAUAAGACUUGCAGUAAUAUUUUUGUUCAUCUCAUUGUAUGAGGCCUGACAGCAAAACACCAGAAAUGUUUGUCAGUAUUACUAUUGUAAACAAAUAAUAAAAAAAAAGCAUGCAUGUCAAAUGUUUGUCAUAUCAAUUGCUUGGGUUAUGACUUUGUUGGGGCCUAAAAUGGAACAUCUGUAGAAAAGUGUGUAAGCAUUAAUGGGUUUUUAUUGUUUAUUUUCUAUACUAAAAGUCAUGUUUCAAGUUCUUGUGGAAA
Long non-coding RNA from Labeo rohita (rohu), 2460 nucleotides. RefSeq lists it as uncharacterized. The transcript has 3 exons. The record is from RefSeq and is a predicted model, not a curated record. Lineage: Eukaryota; Metazoa; Chordata; Actinopteri; Cypriniformes; Cyprinidae.